Molecule: transfer RNA, 90 nt
Filed under: Candidatus Levybacteria bacterium RIFCSPHIGHO2_01_FULL_40_15b
Lineage: Bacteria; Candidatus Levyibacteriota
Description: tRNA-Leu
Rfam family: tRNA
About the family: Transfer RNA (tRNA) molecules are approximately 80 nucleotides in length. Their secondary structure includes four short double-helical elements and three loops (D, anti-codon, and T loops).
Source: RNAcentral
GCCGAGGUGGUGAAAUUGGUAUACACGCAAGAUUGAGGUUCUUGUGUCCUUAAACAAGACGUGCAGGUUCAAGUCCUGUCCUCGGCACCA